AGUGAACGCUGGCGGUAGGCCUAACACGUGCAAGUCGAACGGCAGCACAGUAAGAGCUUGCUCUUACGGGUGGCGAGUGGCGGACGGGUGAGGAAUACAUCGGAAUCUACUUUUUCGUGGGGGAUAACGUGGGGAAACUUACGCUAAUACCGCAUACGACCUACGGGUGAAAGCAGGGGAUCUUCGGACCUUGCGCGAUUGAAUGAGCCGAUGUCGGAUUAGCUAGUUGGCGGGGUAAAGGCCCACCAAGGCGACGAUCCGUAGCUGGUCUGAGAGGAUGAUCAGCCACACUGGAACUGAGACACGGUCCAGACUCCUACGGGAGGCAGCAGUGGGGAAUAUUGGACAAUGGGCGCAAGCCUGAUCCAGCCAUACCGCGUGGGUGAAGAAGGCCUUCGGGUUGCAAAGCCCUUUUGUUGGGAAAGAAAAGCAGCAGGUUAAUACCCCGCUGUUCUGACGGUACCCAAAGAAUAAGCACCGGCUAACUUCGUG
RNAcentral lists this ribosomal RNA (492 nucleotides) under uncultured bacterium. RNAcentral describes it as "partial 16S ribosomal RNA". It matches the Rfam family "Bacterial small subunit ribosomal RNA", at positions 29 to 507 of the family's 1533-position model. The record is from RNAcentral.